CUUACGGGUGGCAGCAGUGAGGAAUAUUGGUCAAUGGUCGGGAGACUGACCCAGCCAAGCCGCGUGAGGGAUGAAGGUACAGAGUAUCGUAAACCUCUUUUGUCAGGGAACAAAGGCGGGGACGCGUCCCCGGAUGAGUGUAACUGAAGAAAAAGCAUCGGCUAACUCCGUGCCAGCAGCCGCGGUAAGACGUCGGCGGCAAGCGUUGUCCGGCUUUACUGGGUGUAAAGGGCGUUGAGCCGGAGAGACAAGUCAGAUGUGAGAUCCACGGGCUCAACCCGUGAACUGCAUUUGAAACUGUUUCCCUUGAGUGGCGGAGAGGUGAUCGGAAUUCCUUGUGUAGCGGUGAAAUGCGUAGAUAUAAGGAAGAACACCAGUGGCGAAGGCGGAUUACUGGACGAUAACUGACGGUGAGGCGCGAAAGCGUGGGGAGCAAACAGGAUUAGAGACCCUUGUAGUC
Molecule: ribosomal RNA, 460 nt
Filed under: uncultured bacterium
Lineage: Bacteria
Description: partial 16S ribosomal RNA
Rfam family: Bacterial small subunit ribosomal RNA
Source: RNAcentral